AAGAAGAAUGGGCAAAGUCCAGUGUUAACCAUCCAUCUCACAACAGCUAAUGAAGUGGUAGUAGCUAUAUUGGCUAGUCAGCCAAAAGCUGCUACGAAUUCCUUAUCAGCUGCGAGAGAGUUAACACUAUAGCUUAAACCUGAAAUCAGCAGUAGGGCUCGCUCAGAGCAAAUGAGCUGAUGUUUCUAAUCAACUAUGACUCUGGAAAAAAAUAAUCUGUUUUCCCCUAUACAUUCUGCUCUCCAAAAGUUAAGUAUCUAGACUUGUCUCAUGAACCCCUGAAGAACAUGAGAUAUAAUGCAGGCUCCAAUAAGAAUGGCCCUGCUCAUCUGCUUCUGCUCUGUAUGUAGCAAACCUGGGAAUGACGCUGCCCUGAAGGGACCCUCUGCUUGCUCUCAAGCUCCGUCUCUGGCAUAAUUCAGCUGCUGGAAGUUGGGGUGCAUACAUAAUGCAAGCAAGGAACUAUGGUACAGGCCUCUGACUACCUAGGAAAUUCUGUAUGAAACUUAUAUGAAGAAUGCGCAUACAAGGACAACCAAAGGACCAUUCAUCUGCAAUGCCAACCUGGACAUUUCCAGACUACUGGAUACUAAACCAUUCAACACCCACAUUCUCUCAAAUAUUUUGGUCACAUGCUAUACUAUACAUUUAUUUUAUAUCUAUACAUUACUUUAAAACUAUACAUUCACGGUAACUGAAAGGAUUAUUCAGGGCAACAGCGUCAAGACCUGUAACAUUCUAGAGACAGCACCACAUACUGAGCAACGUAUGAGGAGCAUUCUUAUGAAAAAUAAAGUAAAUUCUAUCUCUUCGAG
Molecule: long non-coding RNA, 815 nt
Organism: Alligator mississippiensis (American alligator)
Lineage: Eukaryota; Metazoa; Chordata; Crocodylia; Alligatoridae
Exons: 5
Source: RefSeq, a predicted model, not a curated record